UCCUUGGGAGCCCUCCCACCAACUACUUUCUCACUCUUUUCUCUGUGGCGCUGCUACCUCUGGCUUGCGUUGUUUUAGGACCUCACAUCCCAUUAGUUCCCCCUGCUAGCAUGGCAGCCCCCAGUGGGGCUGGGGGUAUUGGCUGCCAAACCCCGAGCCUGGGACAGUCUGCCUGUGCCCUCUCAUUGGCCAACCCUGAGCAACGUCCUAGCUACUGGACACGCAUCAGCUGGGGGAAUGAAAAGGUGGUCCUGGAUGGGGUUCAGCCCAGCCUGGUGACAGGCAAGACCCAGAGAGUGAGAAUAGGCACAGCGGGAGCAUCGGCUGGUCCUGGGGCUGGAGGGCUUCUUGGAGGAGGUGGCACUGAAACCAAGGGACACGAGUCAGGACAAGGGUGUUCCAGGGCAGAGGAAGCUGAGAGCAAAGGAGAGUUGGAGGAAAAGAGGAACAGAGCCCGGAGAGUGAGUGAGCCACCUCCCCCUGCUGCUCUCCCCUCCCAGGGUGGUCCCAGCAUCUCACACCCACUCGGAUCAGUGAUGUUUUGCCUCCAGCGUUCCUCUUUUCGGGUCUUUGUUGCCCAUGAUCCCUGGUGUCCCUUGGCUUGUGACUGCAUCACCCCAACCUGUGUCUCUUUUGUCACAAAUUUUCCUCUUAGAAGGACAUCCGCCAUUGGAUGUAGGGCCACCCUACUUUAGUGUAACCUCAUCCUAACUAAUCACAUCUACAAAGAUCCUACCCCCAAAUCAGGUCACCUUCCCAGGUUCGGGUGGGUGUGACUUUGGGGGGGAUAUUUGACCCUAACUGCUUGGUGUUAACUGCCUUCAACAGCCCAUGCAGGCAGGUUCUGACCACCCACGUUCUAGAUGAGGAAACUGAGGCUCAGAAGGGUCCAGUCAUUUCAGGCAGACACAGGGAGCCAGGCUAGCUUCUCUGUACCUGCAGAUAACCCCCAUGGGUGCUGGGCAGCCUUUCGAGGAGGGCAGGGUCCCCCUAAAUUUUAAAGCAGAAUCUGAGGUGUGGAGAGGUGCCCGCCCUGCCCAAGGAGGCUGUGCCUUUUCUUAUUUAUAUUAUCAUUAGAUAUAUGGUUGCUCUUGAUUUUUGGUGAUUAUAAAUGAUGCUGAUUCCAAAUGUAUAUAGAUUUUUUUCCAAAUCCGCCCUGAAGGUCCCGGGUUGACUCUAAAACCCUGACCCGCAACACAAGGCUCAUCGCAGAGGCCCUGACUCGAGUCAUCUACAACCUGACUGAGAAGGGGACGCCCCCGGACAUGCCUGUCUUCACAGAGCAGAUGCAGAUCCAGCAGGAACAGCUGGACUCGGUGAUGGACUGGCUCACCAACCAGCCCCGGGCUGCCCAGUUGGUGGACAAAGAUGGCACGUUCCUCAACACGCUGGAGCACUACCUGAGCCGCUACCUGAAGGAGGUGAAGCAGCACCACAUCAAGGCUGACAAACGGUGAGGCGCAGACGGCCCCCACCCUGUCACAGGCUCAUGAAGUGUGGCUGGCCAGUGAGCAUGCUCUUCUAGAGUUUUCUAUAUCGCCCCCAGUGCCAGAGUGAGCAAAUAAAUAAAAUACCGGAUGAAAAGUUAAAUGAUAAGUAAAAAAGUACUGGGUACUAGUUAACUUUGAGUUCCAGAUAAAACAGCAAAUUGUUUUUUAGUGUAAGUAUGUCCCAUGAAA
Molecule: long non-coding RNA, 1679 nt
Organism: Myotis brandtii (Brandt's bat)
Lineage: Eukaryota; Metazoa; Chordata; Mammalia; Chiroptera; Vespertilionidae
Exons: 3
Source: RefSeq, a predicted model, not a curated record